UGAUAAUUAGUUUAAAUAAAACAAGUGAUUUCGACUCACUAGAUUGUGAUAACGAUCAUAAUUAUCAA
This 68-nucleotide transfer RNA is filed under the name Micronycteris megalotis (little big-eared bat). RNAcentral's name for it is "tRNA-Arg". Lineage: Eukaryota; Metazoa; Chordata; Mammalia; Chiroptera; Phyllostomidae. The record is from RNAcentral.